AGGUUGGCUUAGAAGCAGCCAUCCUUUAAAGAAAGCGUAACAGCUCACUGGUCUAGUCGGCCUGCGCGGAAGAUUUAACGGGGCUUAAGCCGUAUACCGAAGCUGCGGCUCGAUACUUUCUUCGGAUCGUAUCGGGGGUAGGGGAGCGUUCUGUAAGCCAGUGAAGGUGCGUCGCGAGGCGUGCUGGAGGUAUCAGAAGUGCGAAUGCUGACAUGAGUAACGAUUAUGCGGGUGAAAAACCCGCACGCCAGAAGCCCAAGGUUUCCUGCGCAACGCUAAUCGGCGCAGGGUGAGUCGGCCCCUAAGGCGAGACCGAAAGGUGUAGUCGAUGGGAAACAGGUCAACAUUCCUGUACCGGCCGUAACUGCGAUGGGGUGACGGAGAAGGUUAGGCCUACCGGGCGUUGGUUGUCCCGGGGAAAGUAGGUAGGCGGGCGCUUUUGGAAAAUCCGGAGCGCCGUUAACGCCGAGAUACGAGACCACCGGCAUUGCCGGGAAGUGGCUUACACCAUGCUUCCAGGAAAAACCUCUAAGCAUCAGGUUACGGGCGACCGUACCGUAAACCGACACAGGUGGGCAGGGAGAGAAUCCUAAGGCGUUUGAGAGAACUCGGGUGAAGGAACUAGGCAAAUUGGUACCGUAACUUCGGGAGAAGGUACGCCUUUGACGGUGACGGGACUUGCUCCCUGAGCUGUCGGAGGCCGCAGUGACCAGGUGGCUGCGACUGUUUACUAAAAACAUAGCACUCUGCUAACUCGCAAGAGGAUGUAUAGGGUGUGACGCCUGCCCGGUGCCGGAAGGUUAAGUGAUCCUGUUAGCCCUUUUGGGCAAAGCUCGUGACCGAAGCCCCGGUAAACGGCGGCCGUAACUAUAACGGUCCUAAGGUAGCGAAAUUCCUUGUCGGGUAAGUUCCGACCUGCACGAAUGGCGUAACGAUGGCCACACUGUCUCCACCCGGGACUCAGUGAAAUUGAAAUUGCUGUGAAGAUGCAGUGUACCCGCGGCUAGACGGAAAGACCCCGUGAACCUUUACUACAGCUUUGUACUGGAUCUUGAGCCAGCUUGUGCAGGAUAGGUGGGAGGCUUUGAAGCGAGGACGCCAGUUCUCGUGGAGCCAACCUUGAAAUACCACCCUGGCUUGUUUGAGGUUCUAACCCAGGCCCGUUAUCCGGGUCGGGGACAGUGCAUGGUGGGUAGUUUGACUGGGGCGGUCUCCUCCCAAAGAGUAACGGAGGAGCACAAAGGUACCCUCAGCGCGGUCGGACAUCGCGCAUUGCGUGUAAAGGCAUAAGGGUGCUUGACUGCGAGACGUACAAGUCGAGCAGGGACGAAAGUCGGUCUUAGUGAUCCGGUGGUUCUGUAUGGAAUGGCCAUCGCUAAACGGAUAAAAGGUACUCCGGGGAUAACAGGCUGAUUCCUCCCAAGAGUCCACAUCGACGGAGGAGUUUGGCACCUCGAUGUCGGCUCAUCACAUCCUGGGGCUGUAGCAGGUCCCAAGGGUAUGGCUGUUCGCCAUUUAAAGUGGUACGCGAGCUGGGUUUAGAACGUCGUGAGACAGUUCGGUCCCUAUCUGCCGUGGGCGUUUGAGAAUUGAGAGGAGCUGCUCCUAGUACGAGAGGACCGGAGUGGACGUACCUCUGGUGUUCCGGUUGUCACGCCAGUGGCAUUGCCGGGUAGCUAUGUACGGAAGGGAUAACCGCUGAAAGCAUCUAAGCGGGAAGCCCACCCCAAGAUUAGGUUUCCCGGAUCUUCGGAUCCCUGAAGGGCCCUUGAAGACUACAAGGUUGAUAGGCUGGGUGUGGAAGCGCGGCAACGCGUGAAGCUAACCAGUACUAAUUGCCCGUGCGGCUUAA
Molecule: ribosomal RNA, 1852 nt
Filed under: Gammaproteobacteria bacterium
Lineage: Bacteria; Pseudomonadati; Pseudomonadota; Gammaproteobacteria
Description: partial 23S ribosomal RNA
Rfam family: Bacterial large subunit ribosomal RNA
Source: RNAcentral